GAUGAACGCUGGCGGCGUGCCUAAUACAUGCAAGUCGAGCGAACAGACGAGGAGCUUGCUCCUCUGACGUUAGCGGCGGACGGGUGAGUAACACGUGGAUAACCUACCUAUAAGACUGGGAUAACUUCGGGAAACCGGAGCUUAUACCGGAUAAUAUAUUGAACCGCAUGGUUCAAUAGUGAAAGACGGUUUUGCUGUCACUUAUAGAUGGAUCCGCGCCGCAUUAGCUAGUUGGUAAGGUAACGGCUUACCAAGGCAACGAUGCGUAGCCGACCUGAGAGGGUGAUCGGCCACACUGGAACUGAGACACGGUCCAGACUCCUACGGGAGGCAGCAGUAGGGAAUCUUCCGCAAUGGGCGAAAGCCUGACGGAGCAACGCCGCGUGAGUGAUGAAGGUCUUCGGAUCGUAAAACUCUGUUAUUAGGGAAGAACAAAUGUGGAAGUAACUAUGCACGUCUUGACGGUACCUAAUCAGAAAGCCACGGCUAACUACGUG
RNAcentral lists this ribosomal RNA (497 nucleotides) under uncultured bacterium. RNAcentral's name for it is "partial 16S ribosomal RNA". It matches the Rfam family "Bacterial small subunit ribosomal RNA", at positions 28 to 507 of the family's 1533-position model. The record is from RNAcentral.